Molecule: non-coding RNA, 99 nt
Filed under: Clostridium kluyveri
Lineage: Bacteria; Bacillati; Bacillota; Clostridia; Eubacteriales; Clostridiaceae
Also listed under: 1 other name
Description: TPP sequence
Rfam family: TPP riboswitch aptamer (THI element)
About the family: Vitamin B(1) in its active form thiamin pyrophosphate (TPP) is an essential coenzyme that is synthesised by coupling of pyrimidine and thiazole moieties in bacteria. The previously detected thiamin-regulatory element, thi box was extended, resulting in a new, highly conserved RNA secondary structure, the THI element, which is widely distributed in eubacteria and also occurs in some archaea. Analysis of operon structures identified a large number of new candidate thiamin-regulated genes, mostly transporters, in various prokaryotic organisms.
Source: RNAcentral
ACUUAAUGCUAGGGGUGCCUUGUGGCUGAGAAACACCAGUUGUUAACCCUUCUACCUGAUCUGGAUAACACCAGCGUAGGGAAGCGGAUUUUUAGAAAA